This 400-nucleotide ribosomal RNA is filed under the name uncultured bacterium. Its description in RNAcentral is "bacterial SSU rRNA". It matches the Rfam family "Bacterial small subunit ribosomal RNA", at positions 355 to 748 of the family's 1533-position model. The record is from RNAcentral.
UGGGGAAUCUUCCGCAAUGGGCGAAAGCCUGACGGAGCAACGCCGCGUGAAUGAAGAAGGCCUUCGGGUCGUAAAGUUCUGUCUUUAGGGACGAAUGAGUAUGUGCAAAUAGUUCAUGCUUUGACGGUACCUAAGGAGGAAGCUCCGGCUAACUACGUGCCAGCAGCCGCGGUAAUACGUAGGGAGCAAGCGUUGUCCGGAAUUACUGGGCGUAAAGGGCGCGUAGGCGGGAACUUAAGUCAGAUGUGAAAACUCCGGGCUCAACUUGGAGACUGCAUUUGAAACUGAGUUUCUUGAGGGCAGGAGAGGAAAGUGGAAUUCCUAGUGUAGCGGUGAAAUGCGUAGAUAUUAGGAGGAACACCAGUGGCGAAGGCGACUUUCUGGACUGAACCUGACGCUG